This 252-nucleotide ribosomal RNA is filed under the name uncultured bacterium. RNAcentral's name for it is "partial 16S ribosomal RNA". It matches the Rfam family "Bacterial small subunit ribosomal RNA", at positions 524 to 776 of the family's 1533-position model. The record is from RNAcentral.
UACGGGGGGGGCAAGCGUUGUUCGGAAUUACUGGGCGUAAAGCGCACGUAGGCGGAUCGAUCAGUCAGGGGUGAAUCCCAGGGCUCAACCCUGGAACUGCCUUUGAUACUGUCGAUCUGGAGUAUGGAAGAGGUGAGUGGAAUUCCGAGUGUAGAGGUGAAAUUCGUAGAUAUUCGGAGGAACACCAGUGGCGAAGGCGGCUCACUGGUCCAUUACUGACGCUGAGGUGCGAAAGCGUGGGGAGCAAACAGG